Ictidomys tridecemlineatus (thirteen-lined ground squirrel) is the source of this 72-nucleotide non-coding RNA. Lineage: Eukaryota; Metazoa; Chordata; Mammalia; Rodentia; Sciuridae. The record is from Rfam.
GGAAUUGUGGCUCAGUGGUAGAGCACUUACCCAGCAUGUGUGAGACAUUGGGUUCAAUUCUCAACAAUGCAU